UCUAUCUAGGAGGAGGAGGAGGAGAGCUGAAGGAGAGGAGGAGGAGAGGAGGAGGAGAGGAGGAGGAGGAGGAGGAGAGCUGAAGGAGCCGUUCUGUUUCUGUCCUGUUCUGGUCGACGUUCGUUGAAGAUGAACUUCCUCUCAGACGUCUUCGUCCUCCAUCACGUCUCCGUCCUCGCCGUCUUUUCUCUCUCUCGUCGACCACAUGACCUCAGAGAAGAAGUCUGACCCCGGUAGAUGAACUUUCCGUUGGCGGCGGACUCCAAAGUCUGCAGGUGUGACGCACCUUUAAUCCCAUUUCCUGAUGAUGAAACUCGCCGCCUGAAACUCCCGUUUGUCACAUAAGUCAACAAGGCCGCCGCCGCCGCCGCCACUACAGGCUGUUUACAAAGCCAAGCCUCUUUCCCUCGCCGUCACAUCGCGCUUACCCCCCUCCGGUCGUAGCGUUGAAUCAAAGCUUGCCGCACACACGUCACCCUUUGAAAUCUGGCGCUCAGGAGCGCGUUCGACAGUUAGCAGGAUAAAUAUUUGAGGGCCGGCGAUAUCAGACGAGGACGCCGCAGAACACCUCCGAGCACGCAGCUGUUAACCCCACCCCCCCUCCUCGCCGGUUUGUGCGUUUUGAAGAUAAAGUAGCAAAACUACUCGAGGCGUUGGUGUUGUGAACGUUGGUUGCUACGGCAACACUGGUGGGAGGGAGACCCGGUUCUCCAUUACUACUUCAUUUAGGCGCUCUAAUUGCAUUCUGCACAAUCCGCCGCCGCCGCCACCGCGUUCUGCAGGG
Xyrichtys novacula (pearly razorfish) is the source of this 784-nucleotide non-coding RNA. The record is from the annotation of a GenBank genome assembly. NCBI's taxonomy places the organism in Eukaryota, Metazoa, Chordata, Actinopteri, Labriformes, Labridae.